RNAcentral lists this ribosomal RNA (497 nucleotides) under uncultured bacterium. Its description in RNAcentral is "partial 16S ribosomal RNA". It matches the Rfam family "Bacterial small subunit ribosomal RNA", at positions 28 to 507 of the family's 1533-position model. The record is from RNAcentral.
GAUGAACGCUGGCGGCGUGCCUAAUACAUGCAAGUCGAGCGAACGGACGAGAAGCUUGCUUCUCUGAUGUUAGCGGCGGACGGGUGAGUAACACGUGGAGAACCUACCUAUAAGAAUGGGAUAACUUCGGGAAACCGGAGCUAAUACCGGAUAAUAUUUUGAACCGCACGGUUUAAAAGUGAAAGACGGUCUUGCUGUAACUUAUAGAUGGAUCCGCGCGUCAUGAGCUAGUUGGUAAGGUAACGGCAUACCAAGGCAACGAUGCAUAGCCGACAUGAGAGGGAGAUCGGCUAACCGGGAACUGAGGCAGGGCCCAGACUCCUACGGGGGGCAGCAGUAGGGAAUCUUCCGCAAGGGAGGAAAGCCUGACGGAGCAACGCCGCGUGAGUGAUGAAGGUCUUCGGAUCGUAAAACUCUGUUGUUAGGGAAGAACAUAUGUGUAGGUAACUGUGCACAAAUUGACGGUACCUAAUCAGAAAGCCACGGCUAACUACGUG